UACGUAGGGUGCAAGCGUUGUCCGGAAUUAUUGGGCGUAAAGAGCUCGUAGGCGGUUUGUUGCGUCGGCUGUGAAAUCCCGAGGCUCAACCUCGGGUCUGCAGUCGAUACGAGCAAACUAGAGUGUUGCAGGGGAGACUGGAAUUCCUGGUGUAGCGGUGAAAUGCGCAGAUAUCAGGAGGAACACCGGUGGCGAAGGCGGGUCUCUGGGCAACAACUGACGCUGAGGAGCGAAAGUGUGGGGAGCGAAGAGG
This 253-nucleotide ribosomal RNA is filed under the name uncultured bacterium. Its description in RNAcentral is "partial 16S ribosomal RNA". It matches the Rfam family "Bacterial small subunit ribosomal RNA", at positions 524 to 776 of the family's 1533-position model. The record is from RNAcentral.